GACGAACGCUGGCGGCGUGCUUAACACAUGCAAGUCGAACGGAAAGGCCCUGCUUUUGUGGGGUGCUCGAGUGGCGAACGGGUGAGUAACACGUGAGUAACCUGCCCUUGACUUUGGGAUAACUUCAGGAAACUGGGGCUAAUACCGGAUAGGAGCUCCUGCUGCAUGGUGGGGGUUGGAAAGUUUCGGCGGUUGGGGAUGGACUCGCGGCUUAUCAGCUUGUUGGUGGGGUAGUGGCUUACCAAGGCUUUGACGGGUAGCCGGCCUGGGAGGGUGACCGGCCACAAUGGGACUGAGAUACGGCCCAGACUCCUACGGGAGGCAGCAGUGGGGAAUAUUGCACAAUGGGCGGAAGCCUGAUGCAGCAACGCCGCGUGCGGGAUGACGGCCUUCGGGUUGUAAACCGCUUUCGCCUGUGACGAAGCGUGAGUGACGGUAAUGGGUAAAGAAGCACCGGCUAACUACGUG
This 468-nucleotide ribosomal RNA is filed under the name uncultured bacterium. RNAcentral describes it as "partial 16S ribosomal RNA". It matches the Rfam family "Bacterial small subunit ribosomal RNA", at positions 28 to 507 of the family's 1533-position model. The record is from RNAcentral.